This is a non-coding RNA of Macaca mulatta (Rhesus monkey), 635 nucleotides long. NCBI's taxonomy places the organism in Eukaryota, Metazoa, Chordata, Mammalia, Primates, Cercopithecidae. The record is from RefSeq and is a predicted model, not a curated record.
CUUCUUGAAAAACAGUCACUUACACGCUUUUAUUUUGAAGUAAAUUUAAAGAUGGUGAUCUAGAAACCACAAGUAUUUCCGGGCUGCAGACGUUCUGAAAAAGAGCAAGGAAUGAAUAUUUAAAAGAUGUUCACAGAACACCAUGUGGGCCAUGUCAUCGUUCCCAUCUCCUGGGAUUUGUUUUCCUACUUAAGAAGUUGAGAGUGGAUUUAUUGUUGCUGAAGAGCAUGGAGUGGUCUUGUGAUCACAGAAUGCAGCCCUUUGAGACGCAGAAAUGGUGCUGUCCCAACUGUGAUUUCCAGGACAGCGAUGCAGCAUCAUAAAAGAACAGUGUUGAGUUUUUCCUACAAAAUACAACAUCUUCAUUAGAGGUGGAAUAUGCCUUAGAAGUUCCUAUUGGCUAACAUGUCAACAUCUGAGCAGACAGAAGGAUAUUCUGAGUCUUCAAGUCAUGAUGAAGUAAAGGAGGAGUCAUAUUGUGCAGGAGUUAGCAGUCCCCUGGAGGAGGCUGUAGAAUGUCCAGUGAGCUGCAAAUUUGAGUGCCAGAGUAUCUGCUGGGGUGUGGGAAGAAAAUGUUAGAUUUCUACUUAUAUUCAUUUCUCAACAAAAAUAAACGAGAAAUUAUGAUUUAUUAA